This is a long non-coding RNA of Spinacia oleracea (spinach), 507 nucleotides long. RefSeq lists it as uncharacterized. The record is from RefSeq and is a predicted model, not a curated record. The transcript is spliced from 3 exons. NCBI's taxonomy places the organism in Eukaryota, Viridiplantae, Streptophyta, Magnoliopsida, Caryophyllales, Amaranthaceae.
UUGGAGUGAAGCAAAGCGACAUCUUUGGAGUGGAAGGUUUGCUGAGGAAAGAAGGGUCAAGCUAUGUUAACAACAAUGCUAUGGAAGUGGAGAACAUGAAAGGUGAAAUAUCAGUUGUCAAGAAGCAAAAUGAGGACCUUGCGCAACAAAAUCAAGUUCUAAACACCAAGUUUGAAGAAACAACACAAUCAUUUAAAAUGAUUGCUUCUUUUUUGGGACAAGUUUUGAAGGAAGUACGCAAAGGGAAUGUUUCAUCGAACCUUUUAGAUGGUGCGGAAUCAGCAAUAAAUAUGAUUACUGAUGAUUCUGGUGGCAAUGGUGACAACCAGGCCGAGAAAUGAGACUUUGACACUAUUGCCAAAUGCAAGAUUAUUGAUGAUUCAAGUGGUAAUAGUAAAUGUAGAUCAAGAGAUGAACAAGUUAUCUUGAAGCUAAGCUAGCAUAACGAUAUGUUUACUUGUUCGUAGUCAGGAAGUUGUUUUUAUUUAGUUUUGGACUAUCUUGUAG